RNAcentral lists this unclassified non-coding RNA (338 nucleotides) under soil metagenome. RNAcentral's name for it is "partial contains 5.8S ribosomal RNA, internal transcribed spacer 2, and large subunit ribosomal RNA". The stretch from base 1 to 120 matches the Rfam family "5.8S ribosomal RNA", at positions 35 to 154 of the family's 154-position model. The record is from RNAcentral.
GAUGAAGAACGUAGCGAAAUGCGAUAAGUAAUGUGAAUUGCAGAAUUCAGUGAAUCAUCGAAUCUUUGAACGCACAUUGCGCCCAUUAGUAUUCUAGUGGGCAUGCCUGUUCGAGCGUCAUUUCAACCCUUAAGCCCCCGUUGCUUAGCGUUGGGAACCUACAGCGAUGUAGUUCCUUAAAGUUAGUGGCGGAGUCGGUUCACACUCUAGGCGUAGUAAAUUUUAUCUCGCCUCUGUAGUUGGACCGUCCCCCGCCGUAAAACACCCCAAUUUCUAAAGGUUGACCUCGGAUCAGGUAGGGAUACCCGCUGAACUUAAGCAUAUCAAUAAGCGGAGGA